ACUCCUACGGGAGGCAGCAGUGGGGAAUUUUGGACAAUGGGCGAAAGCCUGAUCCAGCAAUGCCGCGUGCAGGAUGAAGGCCCUCGGGUUGUAAACUGUCUUUUGUACGGAACGAAAAGCCGUGGGGCUAAUACUCCCGGGUCAUGACGGUACCGUAAGAAUAAGCACCGGCUAACUACGUGCCAGCAGCCGCGGUAAUACGUAGGGUGCAAGCGUUAAUCGGAAUUACUGGGCGUAAAGCGUGCGCAGGUCGGUUUUGUAAGACAGUGGUGAAAUCCCCGGGCUCAACCUGGGAACUGCCAUUGUGACUGCAAGGCUAGAGUGCGGCAGAGGGGAUGGAAUUCCGCGUGUAGCAGUGAAAUGCGUAGAUAUGCGGAGGAACACCGAUGGCGAAGGCAAUCCCCUGGGCCUGCACUGACGCUCAUGCACGAAAAGCGUGGGAGCAAACAGGAUUAGAUACCCCUGGUAGCGACUGA
This 476-nucleotide ribosomal RNA is filed under the name uncultured bacterium. RNAcentral's name for it is "bacterial SSU rRNA". It matches the Rfam family "Bacterial small subunit ribosomal RNA", at positions 335 to 803 of the family's 1533-position model. The record is from RNAcentral.